This 496-nucleotide ribosomal RNA is filed under the name uncultured bacterium. Its description in RNAcentral is "partial 16S ribosomal RNA". It matches the Rfam family "Bacterial small subunit ribosomal RNA", at positions 28 to 506 of the family's 1533-position model. The record is from RNAcentral.
GAUGAACGCUGGCGGCGUGCCUAAUACAUGCAAGUCGAGCGAACAGACGAGGAGCUUGCUCCUCUGACGUUAGCGGCGGACGGGUGAGUAACACGUGGAUAACCUACCUAUAAGACUGGGAUAACUUCGGGAAACCGGAGCUAAUACCGGAUAAUAUAUUGAACCGCAUGGUUCAAUAGUGAAAGACGGUUUUGCUGUCACUUAUAGAUGGAUCCGCGCCGCAUUAGCUAGUUGGUAAGGUAACGGCUUACCAAGGCAACGAUGCGUAGCCGACCUGAGAGGGUGAUCGGCCACACGGGAACUGAGACACGGUCCAGACCCCUACGGGAGGCAGCAGUAGGGAAUCUUCCGCAAUGGGCGAAAGCCUGACGGAGCAACGCCGCGUGAGUGAUGAAGGUCUUCGGAUCGUAAAACUCUGUUAUUAGGGAAGAACAAAUGUGUAAGUAACUAUGCACGUCUUGACGGUACCUAAUCAGAAAGCCACGGCUAACUACGU